GUGUCAGCCGCCGCGGUAAUACGUAGGGGGCAAGCGUUGUCCGGAAUCAUUGGGCGUAAAGCGCACGUAGGCGGCCCGGUAAGUCCGUUGUGAAAGUCAGAGGCUCAACCUCUGGAGGCCAAUGGAUACUGCCGGGCUAGAGUCCGGAAGAGGCGAGUGGAAUUCCUGGUGUAGCGGUGGAAUGCGCAGAUAUCAGGAGGAACACCAAUGGCGAAGGCAGCUCGCUGGGACGGUACUGACGCUGAGGUGCGAAAGCGUGGGGAGCGAACAGGAUUAGAUACCCUGGUAGUCCACGCCGUAAACGAUGGCCACUAGGUGUGGGAGGUGUCGACUCCUCCCGUGCCGGCGCUAACGCAUUAAGUGGCCCGCCUGGGGAGUACGGCCGCAAGGCUAAA
RNAcentral lists this ribosomal RNA (395 nucleotides) under uncultured bacterium. RNAcentral's name for it is "bacterial SSU rRNA". It matches the Rfam family "Bacterial small subunit ribosomal RNA", at positions 505 to 898 of the family's 1533-position model. The record is from RNAcentral.